This 1485-nucleotide ribosomal RNA is filed under the name uncultured bacterium. Its description in RNAcentral is "16S ribosomal RNA". It matches the Rfam family "Bacterial small subunit ribosomal RNA". The record is from RNAcentral.
UGGCUCAGAUGAAACGCUGGCGGCAGGCCUAACACAUGCAAGUCGAACGGUAACAGGAAGCAGCUUGCUGCUUUGCUGACGAGUGGCGGACGGGUGAGUAAUGUCUGGGAAACUGCCUGAUGGAGGGGGAUAACUACUGGAAACGGUAGCUAAUACCGCAUAACGUCGCAAGACCAAAGAGGGGGACCUUAGGGCCUCUUGCCAUCGGAUGUGCCCAGAUGGGAUUAGCUAGUAGGUGGGGUAACGGCUCACCUAGGCGACGAUCCCUAGCUGGUCUGAGAGGAUGACCAGCCACACUGGAACUGAGACACGGUCCAGACUCCUACGGGAGGCAGCAGUGGGGAAUAUUGCACAAUGGGCGCAAGCCUGAUGCAGCCAUGCCGCGUGUAUGAAGAAGGCCUUCGGGUUGUAAAGUACUUUCAGCGGGGAGGAAGGGAGUAAGUUAAUACCUUUGCUCAUUGACGUUACCCGCAGAAGAAGCACCGGCUAACUCCGUGCCAGCAGCCGCGGUAAUACGGAGGGUACAAGCGUUAAUCGGGAUUACUGGGCGUAAAGCGCACGCAGGCGGUUUGUUAAGUCAGAUGUGAAAUCCCCGGGCUCAACCUGGGAACUGCAUCUGAUACUGGCAAGCUUGAGUCUCGUAGAGGGGGGUAGAAUUCCAGGUGUAGCGGUGAAAUGCGUAGAGAUCUGGAGGAAUACCGGUGGCGAAGGCGGCCCCCUGGACGAAGACUGACGCUCAGGUGCGAAAGCGUGGGGAGCAAACAGGAUUAGAUACCCUGGUAGUCCACGCCGUAAACGAUGUCGACUUGGAGGUUGUGCCCUUGAGGCGUGGCUUCCGGAGCUAACGCGUUAAGUCGACCGCCUGGGGAGUACGGCCGCAAGGUUAAAACUCAAAUGAAUUGACGGGGGCCCGCACAAGCGGUGGAGCAUGUGGUUUAAUUCGAUGCAACGCGAAGAACCUUACCUGGUCUUGACAUCCACGGAAGUUUUCAGAGAUGAGAAUGUGCCUUCGGGAACCGUGAGACAGGUGCUGCAUGGCUGUCGUCAGCUCGUGUUGUGAAAUGUUGGGUUAAGUCCCGCAACGAGCGCAACCCUUAUCCUUUGUUGCCAGCGGUCCGGCCGGGAACUCAAAGGAGACUGCCAGUGAUAAACUGGAGGAAGGUGGGGAUGACGUCAAGUCAUCAUGGCCCUUACGACCAGGGCUACACACGUGCUACAAUGGCGCAUACAAAGAGAAGCGACCUCGCGAGAGCAAGCGGACCUCAUAAAGUGCGUCGUAGUCCGGAUUGGAGUCUGCAACUCGACUCCAUGAAGUCGGAAUCGCUAGUAAUCGUGGAUCAGAAUGCCACGGUGAAUACGUUCCCGGGCCUUGUACACACCGCCCGUCACACCAUGGGAGUGGGUUGCAAAAGAAGUAGGUAGCUUAACCUUCGGGAGGGCGCUUACCACUUUGUGAUUCAUGACUGGGGUGAAGUCGUAACAAGG